RNAcentral lists this ribosomal RNA (301 nucleotides) under uncultured bacterium. Its description in RNAcentral is "partial 16S ribosomal RNA". It matches the Rfam family "Bacterial small subunit ribosomal RNA", at positions 509 to 807 of the family's 1533-position model. The record is from RNAcentral.
CAGCAGCCACGGUAAUACGUAGGGUGCGAGCGUUAAUCGGAAUUACUGGGCGUAAAGCGUGCGCUGGCGGUUGUGUAAGACAGGUGUGAAAUCCCCGGGCUUAACCUGGGAACUGCGCUUGUGACUGCACAGCUAGAGUAUGGCAGAGGGGGGUGGAAUUCCACGUGUAGCAGUGAAAUGCGUAGAGAUGUGGAGGAACACCGAUGGCGAAGGCAGCCCCCUGGGCCAAUACUGACGCUCAUGCACGAAAGCGUGGGGAGCAAACAGGAUUAGAUACCCCUGUAGUCCCUGUCUCUUAUAC